CAACCCUCAAGCGCAGCUUGGUAUUUGGGCCUCGCCGUUCGUUCGGCGGGCCUUAAAAUCAGUGGCGGUGCCGUCGUGGGCCCUGAGCGCAGUAAAUAUCCUCGCUAUAGGGACCCGGCGAACGCUGGCCAUCAACCCCCACUCUCUAA
Molecule: unclassified non-coding RNA, 149 nt
Filed under: uncultured Helotiales
Lineage: Eukaryota; Fungi; Ascomycota; Leotiomycetes; Helotiales
Description: sequence contains ITS2
Source: RNAcentral